This 503-nucleotide ribosomal RNA is filed under the name uncultured bacterium. RNAcentral describes it as "partial 16S ribosomal RNA". It matches the Rfam family "Bacterial small subunit ribosomal RNA", at positions 30 to 523 of the family's 1533-position model. The record is from RNAcentral.
AUUGAACGCUGGCGGCAGGCUUAACACAUGCAAGUCGAGCGGGGUGAUGGUGCUUGCACUAUCACUUAGCGGCGGACGGGUGAGUAAUGCUUAGGAAUCUGCCUAUUAGUGGGGGACAACAUCUCGAAAGGGAUGCUAAUACCGCAUACGUCCUACGGGAGAGAGCAGGGGAUCACUUGUGACCUUGCGCUAAUAGAUGAGCCUAAGUCGGAUUAGCUAGUUGGUGGGGUAAAGGCCUACCAAGGCGACGAUCUGGAGCGGGUCUGAGAGGAUGAUCCGCCACACUGGGACUGAGACACGGCCCAGACUCCUACGGGAGGCAGCAGUGGGGAAUAUUGGACAAUGGGGGGAACCCUGAUCCAGCCAUGCCGCGUGUGUGAAGAAGGCCUUACGGUUGUAAAGCACUUUAAGCGAGGAGGAGGCUCUUUUGGUUAAUACCCAAGAUGAGUGGACGUUACUCGCAGAAUAAGCACCGGCUAACUCUGUGCCAGCCGCCGCCGUAA